RNAcentral lists this long non-coding RNA (609 nucleotides) under Homo sapiens (human). Its description in RNAcentral is "non-protein coding lnc-FAM161A-3:1". The record is from RNAcentral. Lineage: Eukaryota; Metazoa; Chordata; Mammalia; Primates; Hominidae.
AUGAUGUUCAAGCACUUCCUGGAGGUUUGCCAGGUGGCCUAUGUCUCCUUUGGACCUUAUGCUGGAAAGCUGGUCGCAGUUGUAGAUGUUACUGAUGAAAACAGGGCUCUGGCUGAUGGACUUUGCACUCAGGUAAUGGGACAGGCCGUGUCUUUCAAAUGCAUGCAGCUCACUGACUUCAUCCUCAAGUUCCCACAUAGCACCCACCAAAGGUAUGUCCAACAAGCCUGGCAGCAGGUAGACCUCAAUGCAAAAUGGGCAGCCACACUAAGCCAAGAAGAUUGAAGCCAAAGAGAGGAAAGCCAAGAUGACAGAUUUUGAUUGUUUUAAAGCCAUGAAGGCAAAGAAAAUGAGGAAAAGAAUAAUUAAGAAUGAAGUUAGAGUUUAGGAAGCUUCGAAAGGCAGCUCUCCUGAAAGCUUCUACCAGAAAAGCACCUGCUGCUAAAGUCCCAGCAAAAAAGAUGAUCACUGCGGGCAAGAAGGCUCCAGCCCGGAAGAUUCCUGCCCAGAAAGCCACAGGCCAGAAGGCAGCACUUCUUCAGAAAGCUCAGAAGGGUCAAAAAGUGUUGGCCCAGGGAGCACCUUCUCCAAAAGUGUCUGGCAAGGAAG